AGAAACUAACAAGGAUUCCCCUAGUAACUGCGAGUGAAGCGGGAAAAGCUCAAAUUUAAAAUCUGACGGUCUCCGGCCGUCCGAGUUGUAGUCUGGAGAAGCGUUUUCCGCGUCGGCCCGUGUACAAGUUUCCUGGAACGGAGCGUCAUASAGGGUGAGAAUCCCGUCUCUGACACGGACCGCCGAUGCUUUGUGAUGCGCUCUCGAAGAGUCGAGUUGUUUGGGAAUGCAGCUCAAAAUGGGUGGUGAAUUCCAUCUAAAGCUAAAUAUUGGCGAGAGACCGAUAGCGAACAAGURCCGUGAGGGAAAGAUGAAAAGCRCUUUGGAAAGAGAGUUAAACAGUACGUGAAAUUGUUGAAAGGGAAACGCUUGAAGUCAGUCGCGUCCGCCGGGACUCAGCCUUGCAAUCUUGCUUGGUGUACUUUCUGGUGGACGGGCCAGCAUCAAUUUUGGUCGCCGGACAAAGGCUGGAGAAAUGUGGCACCUUCGGGUGUGUUAUAGUCUCUGGUCGCAUACGGCGGUCGGGAUUGAGGAACUCAGCAUGCCUUUAUGGUCGGGGUUCGCCCACGUUCAUGCUUAGGAUGCUGGCGUAAUGGCUUUAAACGACCCGUCUUGAAACACGGACCAAGGAGUCUAACAUGCCCGCGAGUGUUCGGGUGGAAAACCCGUGCGCGUAAUGAAAGUGAAAGUUGGGACCUCUGUCGUGGAGGGCACCGACGCCCGGACCAGAACUUCUGUGACGGAUCUGCGGUAGAGCGUGUAUGUUGGGACCCGAAAGAUGGUGAACUAUGCCUGAAUAGGGUGAAGCCAGAGGAAACUCUGGUGGAGGCUCGUAGCGAUUCUGACGUGCAAAUCGAUCGUCAAAUUUGGGUAUAGGGGCGAAAGACUAAUCGAACC
Molecule: ribosomal RNA, 897 nt
Filed under: Bondarzewia retipora
Lineage: Eukaryota; Fungi; Basidiomycota; Agaricomycetes; Russulales; Bondarzewiaceae
Description: eukaryotic LSU rRNA
Rfam family: Eukaryotic large subunit ribosomal RNA
Source: RNAcentral